RNAcentral lists this ribosomal RNA (443 nucleotides) under uncultured bacterium. RNAcentral describes it as "bacterial SSU rRNA". It matches the Rfam family "Bacterial small subunit ribosomal RNA", at positions 30 to 507 of the family's 1533-position model. The record is from RNAcentral.
AGUGAACGUUGGCGGCGUGGAUUAGGCAUGCGAGUCGAGCGAUCGUAGCAAUACGGGAGCGGCAAACGGGGUAGGAAUACAUCGGAACGUACCCUCUGGUCGAGGAUAGCGUCGGGAAACUGACGGUAAUACUCGAUAAAGUCGAGAGACCAAAGGUUUACUGCCGGAGGAGCGGCCGAUGCGAUAUUAGGUAGUUGGUGGGGUAAUGGCCUACCAAGCCUGAGAUGUCUAGGGGGUGUGAGAGCAUGGCCCCCACCACUGGGACUGAGAAACUGCCCAGACACCUACGGGUGGCUGCAGUCGAGAAUCUUCGUCAAUGGGGCGAAAGCCUGAACGAGCGACGCCGCGUGCGGGAUGAAGGCCCUUGGGUUGUAAACCGCUGUCAGAGGGGAUGAAACCGCAAGGUUGACAGAGCCUCAGAGGAAGCACGGGCUAAGUUCGUG